GAUGAAGAACGUAGCGAAAUGCGAUAAGUAAUGUGAAUUGCAGAAUUCAGUGAAUCAUCGAAUCUUUGAACGCACAUUGCGCCCGCCAGUAUUCUGGCGGGCAUGCCUGUUCGAGCGUCAUUACAACCCUCAGGCCCCCGGGCCUGGCGUUGGGGAUCGGCGGAGCCCCCCGUGGGCACACGCCGUCCCCCAAAUACAGUGGCGGUCCCGCCGCAGCUUCCAUCGCGUAGUAGCUAACACCUCGCGACUGGAGAGCGGCGCGGCCACGCCGUAAAACACCCAACUCUUCCGAAGUUGACCUCGAAUCAGGUAGGAAUACCCGCUGAACUUAAGCAUAUCAAUAAGCGGAGGA
Molecule: unclassified non-coding RNA, 352 nt
Filed under: soil metagenome
Description: partial contains 5.8S ribosomal RNA, internal transcribed spacer 2, and large subunit ribosomal RNA
Rfam family: 5.8S ribosomal RNA (bases 1-120)
Source: RNAcentral